This 535-nucleotide non-coding RNA is filed under the name Gonapodya prolifera JEL478. Its description in RNAcentral is "Eukaryotic large subunit ribosomal RNA". It matches the Rfam family "Eukaryotic large subunit ribosomal RNA", at positions 2921 to 3399 of the family's 3401-position model. The record is from Rfam by way of RNAcentral. Lineage: Eukaryota; Fungi; Monoblepharomycota; Monoblepharidomycetes; Monoblepharidales; Gonapodyaceae.
GAAUUGGGUGGGAAGGGGGACCACCGUCCAACAAAUGAGUUUGUGCAUCACACAAUGCAUGUGUCAAGCGCAUGGCCAAAUAGACCCAUCACGUGAGCUGGGUUUAGACCGUCGUGAGACAGGUUAGUUUUACCCUACUGAUGAAGUGUUGUUGCAAUAGUAAUUCAACUUAGUACGAGAGGAACCGUUGAUUCGCAUAAUUGGUAUUUGCGGUUAGCUGAACAGCUAGUGCCGCGAAGCUAACAUGCGCAGGAUAAUGGCUGAACGCCUCUAAGUCAGAAUCCAUACUAGAACGCGAUGAUGUUUACCCAUUCCAUAUUUUGAUGAUUUGCAAUAGGACCUUGUGUCCCGGAAUCAUAUCUGGGUGACGCCUUGCCGGCGGAAGUGCAGGCAGGCUAGCCCACCAUCGUAAUUUCAAAUAUUGGAAUGGAUAAAUCCUUUGCAGACGACUUAAAUAUCGCAACGGGGUAUUGUAAGCGGUAGAGUAGUCUUGUUACUACGAUCCGCUGAGAUUAAGCCUUUGUUGCUUAGAUUU